Bubalus bubalis (water buffalo) is the source of this 1465-nucleotide long non-coding RNA. RefSeq lists it as uncharacterized. The record is from RefSeq and is a predicted model, not a curated record. The transcript has 2 exons. Lineage: Eukaryota; Metazoa; Chordata; Mammalia; Artiodactyla; Bovidae.
UACUCAACCUUUCUUUUAUUAUUGGUCUCCUAAGAGAAAAAAAUGAAUUUAAAUUCAAUAUAAAUUAAUGAAUUUAAUUCAUUCCAUCUAAUGAAUGAUUUAAAAUAAUUUUCACUUAAUUUCUCCUUAAUGAGAGAAAUUAAAUACUGACAAAUAAAAGCUUAUCAGAUAGCACUUCAGAGGCUCCCAAACCAUUGUACUAUCUAAGAUUUCAACCCUUUACCCAAACUAAUUUUCAUCCCUUUUUGGGCGAUAUUGCCUCCACAGAGAAUGCAUAUUUAAGGUGAAAUGAGGAGUGCUCAACUACUAAUGAAAGGAGAGGUACCUUAGUUUGAGCCACUCAUUAACAGGAGGAUCAUGCUUUUCAGUUAAUUCAUUGUGGUCUGAAGAAUUCUGAGAUGGUCCCCAAGAUUCUCAUGUCUUGUAAACCCACCUUCGGCCAUUUAUUUAAUCUACAGGUACGGAUGUGAAGAGAUUUGCAGAUAUAAUUUGUCUUAAGUUUCUUGACUUUAACUAAGGAGGUUACCCAGGUGGACCUGAUCUAAUCACAAGGCUUUAUAAAAAUUUCUGGGCUCUUCCUGGUGAGAGGGGUUUGAAGAUUGAGGGGCCUUGUGAAACGAGCCAAGUAACAAGGGCCUGAGCGUGUCCUAGGACCUAUGGGCAGUCCCCAGCCUACAGCCAGCAACAAACCCAGGACCUCAGUCUCACAACCACACUAGAAGUGAUUUUACCAACAACUUGAAGGAGUUUGGGAGCAGACCUUUCCCCAGUUAAGCAUCCAGAAGAAAUCACAGCUGGCUAAUGCUUGAUUUCAGACUUAUGAAGCUCUGUGCAGAGAACCCAGCUAACAAGUUCUGGACUCACAACCCAUGGAAACUAUAUCACCUCUUGCCAGAUAGGCUGAGAAACAAAAAGAUGAGGUGAAAAGACAGCCAUCAUCACUUUGUCAAAUAAGGUUACUAAAGAGAAAGAAUCAGAAAACGGAGAUCACACACACCUCAGGCCAUUUUAUCCACCCUUGGACUUGGGAAAUGCUUCUGUUUUGGGGGCUUUGACCUGUAUUAUGCUGCCAUGUGCUGAAUAUUGAAAAAUUUUGCUGCUUUUGAAGGUUACUCCCUGCUCUAAUACAUUCCAUCCAUUCAAAAUUAGGGGCUUCUUUUCCAUUUAGGUACAUUUUCCUUUUCUCAAUUUAAUCCCAUUAUUUUUAAUUAUACUCUUCAAAUCAUCCCUAUAAUUUCCAUCUUAUUAGGAUUUUCAAAUACCUGUAGACAGCAACUCCUUAGACAUUAUUUAGUCAAAUUCACCUAUUAUUUCUUUGAUCUUUUCUUUUAAGUGAAUUCCUACAGCCACUCAAUAUCCAUGGUUUUAGGGAUUCAUUUUCCUUUUUUUCUUUUGCAUUUUCCCUCAAAGGGAUCUGUAUCUAUUUCUUCCUAAGAGCAGAACAUAAAGUUUCUUUCUCCUGUCA